This 448-nucleotide ribosomal RNA is filed under the name uncultured bacterium. Its description in RNAcentral is "partial 16S ribosomal RNA". It matches the Rfam family "Bacterial small subunit ribosomal RNA", at positions 29 to 523 of the family's 1533-position model. The record is from RNAcentral.
AACGAACGCUGGCGGCAGGCCUCACACAUGCAAGUCAAACGGUGUAGCAAUACACAGUGGCGCACGGGUGAGUAACGCGUGGGAAUCUGCCCAGUAGUACGGAAUAACACAGGGAAACUUGUGCUAAUACCGUAUACGCCCUUCGGGGGAAAGUUUUUCGCUAUUGGAUGAGCCCGCGUCAGAUUAGCUAGUUGGUGGGGUAAUGGCCUACCAAGGCGACGAUCUGUAGCUGUUCUGAGAGGAAGAUCAGCCACACUGGAACUGAGACACGGUCCAGACUCCUACGGGAGGCAGCAGUGGGGAAUAUUGGACAAUGGGCGAAAGCCUGAUCCAGCCAUGCCGCGUGAGUGAUGAAGGCCUUAGGGUUGUAAAGCUCUUUUAGCGGGGAAGAUAAUGACGGUACCCGCAGAAUAAGUUCCGGCUAACUUCGUGCCAGCCGCCGCAGUAA